UACCCCCAACAUAUCCCUGGAUUAGAGGG
This 29-nucleotide non-coding RNA is filed under the name Homo sapiens (human). Lineage: Eukaryota; Metazoa; Chordata; Mammalia; Primates; Hominidae. The record is from RNAcentral.